Molecule: long non-coding RNA, 1000 nt
Organism: Fukomys damarensis (Damara mole-rat)
Lineage: Eukaryota; Metazoa; Chordata; Mammalia; Rodentia; Bathyergidae
Exons: 4
Source: RefSeq, a predicted model, not a curated record
ACAUAAAUAUUUAUUGAGCUCUUGUGCUAGGAGGAUUGGAGAUACCAAGAUGUGGGAAACACUGUGGUUGGGGAGCGGUGCAUGUAAAGUCACUGAUGUACAGUGCACAAAAGAGAAGAGAAAGGAGAGAAGGCUACAACUUCCACUGUGAUAGUGAAGAAAAAUUGUGAGAAGAGAAAUCUCUGCCAUAUUUCUGAUCUCAACAAGAAAGUUUUAUACUUCUCAUCAUGCACAGUGAUGUCAUUCAUCAGUGUCUUGUAGAUGUUCUUUCAAGGCAUAGUUCUACUGAGAAUGUCCAUUAAUGGAAUGCUGCUAGAGUGAUGCAAGCAGGGCCAGCCGAAAAAGGCACAAUGGAACCAGAGGAUGGUCCCUAAUAUUGAAGACAUUUGAAGUCUUUAUAUUCUGAGAUGGUUCCUUAUGCAGGGAUAAUUAAUUGAACCAGGAUGCUGAUUUCCGUGAAGGUCCUGCGGAUGUGACAGUGGAAGAGCAGAUGCUGCCUUGCUUUCAUGGGAUGUAUAGCUGAUUGUGAAAGUUAAUUCAUUAAGAGGAAACAAGUGGAAGUGUUUGAUAUAGGAAUAAUUCUGUUAAGGAAUCAAACAGCAUGCUGAGGUAAGAGCUGAAGGAAAUGAAGUGUGUUUUUGGACCGAGUGGCCCAGGUGUAAUGGAGAAGGUAAGACAGAUCUUCUAAAAUUAGUGUUUUAUUCCCUUAGAGAUAGGCUGGGUUUUCAAAUUUCCUCCCCCUAACCCCCAAGGAUGUCACCCAGGAGGAUUUAAUGCUUCCAGACCCCAGUGCCAAUGCUUGACUAAAUAUGUAUGCACACAUCUUCUGGCUUUUGUUUUACUUCACUUAUAAAUUGGAGCGCUUUGAUGUGGGGUUGAGGUGGGGCACAACAGGACUAUUACAUGCCCCCUUCAACUUGGUGAAAUUAUAAAUAAAUGUAUUUUUCCAUUUUUAUAGGCUUUUCUCAUACUUUUGACAAACAAACCCAGGUACCCAGAC